GAUAACUGGUGUCUCAGGAAUCACUUCCUCUUUAGUUAAUGUAAGAUCUAUCUCCCCAUAAAAGGUAGUCCAACAAGGGCUGCAUGUCUUUACCUCUGCUUUCAACCAAGAUCCAUAACGUCCCGAUUUGUCUUGAGGAAGACCAGAUUCUUCGACGAUAAGUAUUUGUUGGCAAACCAGUAUUUGUUGGCAAACUGGGCAACCCAAGG
Molecule: long non-coding RNA, 209 nt
Filed under: Eucalyptus grandis
Lineage: Eukaryota; Viridiplantae; Streptophyta; Magnoliopsida; Myrtales; Myrtaceae
Description: long non-coding RNA (EGRA_LNC000769)
Source: RNAcentral